This is a long non-coding RNA of Oreochromis aureus, 289 nucleotides long. RefSeq lists it as uncharacterized. The transcript is spliced from 3 exons. Lineage: Eukaryota; Metazoa; Chordata; Actinopteri; Cichliformes; Cichlidae. The record is from RefSeq and is a predicted model, not a curated record.
UUCCGUUUAGGGUCUAAUUGUAGCUGUUCUCUACUGUUUCCUCAACAGUGAGGUUCAGAGUGAGCUGAGGAGGACAUGGAAGUGUUUUUCUGUAAAGCGCUGCGUGGGACAGGACUUCAGGCUCCACAGCGUGAACCAAAAUGAUGGGCUACUGCAGCAGAAGAAGACCACACCUGAUGGCACUCCUGUCAGCUAAGAACAGGAAACUGAGGCUAUAUUUCUCACGGGUUCACCAAACGUGGACAACAGAAGAUUGGAAAAAUGUUGCCUGAUCUGAUGAGUCUCGAUU